GACGAACGCUGGCGGCGUGCCUAAUACAUGCAAGUUGAGCGAUGAAGAUUGGUGCUUGCACCAAUUUGAAGAGCAGCGAACGGGUGAGUAACGCGUGGGGAAUCUGCCUUUGAGCGGGGGACAACAUUUGGAAACGAAUGCUAAUACCGCAUAACAACUUUAAACAUAAGUUUUAAGUUUGAAAGAUGCAAUUGCAUCACUCAAAGAUGAUCCCGCGUUGUAUUAGCUAGUUGGUGAGGUAAAGGCUCACCAAGGCGAUGAUACGUAGCCGACCUGAGAGGGUGAUCGGCCACAUUGGGACUGAGACACGGCCCAAACUCCUACGGGAGGCAGCAGUAGGGAAUCUUCGGCAAUGGACGAAAGUCUGACCGAGCAACGCCGCGUGAGUGAAGAAGGUUUUCGGAUCGUAAAACUCUGUUGGUAGAGAAGAACGUUGGCGAGAGUGGAAAGCUCAUCAAGUGACGGUAACUACCCAGAAAGGGACGGCUAACUACGUG
This 497-nucleotide ribosomal RNA is filed under the name uncultured bacterium. Its description in RNAcentral is "partial 16S ribosomal RNA". It matches the Rfam family "Bacterial small subunit ribosomal RNA", at positions 28 to 507 of the family's 1533-position model. The record is from RNAcentral.